Molecule: transfer RNA, 75 nt
Filed under: Bacteroidaceae bacterium
Lineage: Bacteria; Pseudomonadati; Bacteroidota; Bacteroidia; Bacteroidales; Bacteroidaceae
Description: tRNA-Pro
Rfam family: tRNA
About the family: Transfer RNA (tRNA) molecules are approximately 80 nucleotides in length. Their secondary structure includes four short double-helical elements and three loops (D, anti-codon, and T loops).
Source: RNAcentral
CGGGGUAUAGCUCAGUCCGGUUAGAGUACACGUCUGGGGGGCGCGAGGUCGCUGGUUCGAAUCCAGUUACCCCGA